Molecule: long non-coding RNA, 488 nt
Filed under: Sus scrofa (pig)
Lineage: Eukaryota; Metazoa; Chordata; Mammalia; Artiodactyla; Suidae
Description: lncRNA (ENSSSCG00065015121.1)
Source: RNAcentral
GGUGGCCAUCAGUGGCAAUCUGGGCUUUAUGCUUUCUGUUCAAGUAAGAGAGGAGCUCGUCUCCCAAACGUGGGAUGAAAAUCCUUCCUGUCAGUCUUACUGGAGCAGCUUAUCACCUCAUGACCAAUGGCUGUCCCCAGACAGUUUGGGGCACUUGUGGAGCCAGAAAGCCGGUCUUCCUGUUCCUGGCUAGAACCCUCUUCUGCUAUAGUGAUGGAACAGUGGUCUUCAGAAACAAUGCCCGUCAUCUCCACUUCUGUGAACAUGUCCUGUACGGACAUCCCCCAAGAGGGUCCUGUGGAUUCGAUGCCACUCUGUUGAGGACACCACUGGCUCUAGUCCUGAUCCAGAGACUUGGAUGGGGAAGACUGCACGUGACAGAGGAGGAGAGAAGGGCACUUUCAGCAAAGCUGUGCCUGUGUCAGGCCACUCUCCCAGUGCCUCUGACGCUCUGGAAACAGCUGUUGGAGAAGUCAGGUAGGUCCUAG